Molecule: non-coding RNA, 118 nt
Organism: Poronia punctata
Lineage: Eukaryota; Fungi; Ascomycota; Sordariomycetes; Xylariales; Xylariaceae
Source: the annotation of a GenBank genome assembly
GGCCAGGUGGCGGAGUGGUUAACGCGGUAGACUCGAAUGAAAAUUGGCACUUCGGGCCAAUUUGCAUAAGUGCAAUCUACUUCCUUCGGGAGCGUCUGUUCGAAUCAGGCCCUGGUCG